GACGGAGGUCCCUAGCGUUGUUCGGAAUUACUGGGCUUAAAGCGCGUGUAGGCGGAAGGGCAAGUACCUUGUGAAAUCCCCGGGCUCAACCCGGGAAUGGCUGGGUAUACUGCCUUUCUUGAGGCAGGUAGGGGUCACUGGAACCUUAGGUGGAGCGGUGAAAUGCGUAGAUAUCUAAGGGAACGCCUGUGGCGAAAGCGGGUGACUGGGCCUGUCCUGACGCUGAGACGCGAAAGCGUAGGGAGCAAACGGG
Molecule: ribosomal RNA, 253 nt
Filed under: uncultured bacterium
Lineage: Bacteria
Description: partial 16S ribosomal RNA
Rfam family: Bacterial small subunit ribosomal RNA
Source: RNAcentral